This 62-nucleotide transfer RNA is filed under the name Loxilobus prominenoculus. RNAcentral's name for it is "tRNA-Thr". It matches the Rfam family "tRNA". From Rfam's summary of the family: Transfer RNA (tRNA) molecules are approximately 80 nucleotides in length. Their secondary structure includes four short double-helical elements and three loops (D, anti-codon, and T loops). The record is from RNAcentral. Lineage: Eukaryota; Metazoa; Arthropoda; Insecta; Orthoptera; Tetrigidae.
GUUUUAAUAGUUUAAAUAAAACAUUGAUCUUGUAAAUCAAAAUUGAAUGAAUUCUUAAAACU